UACGUAGGUGGCGAGCGUUGUCCGGAUUUACUGGGCGUAAAGGGAGCGUAGGCGGACUUUUAAGUGAGAUGCGAAAUACUCGGGCUCAACUUGAGUGCUGCAUUUCAAACUGGAAGUCUAGAGUGCAGGAGAGGAGAAUGGAAUUCCUAGUGUAGCGGUGAAAUGCGUAGAGAUUAGGAAGAACACCAGUGGCGAAGGCGAUUCUCUGGACUGUAACUGACGCUGAGGCUCGAAAGCGUGGGGAGCGAACAGG
Molecule: ribosomal RNA, 253 nt
Filed under: uncultured bacterium
Lineage: Bacteria
Description: partial 16S ribosomal RNA
Rfam family: Bacterial small subunit ribosomal RNA
Source: RNAcentral